This 83-nucleotide transfer RNA is filed under the name Canis lupus familiaris (dog). It matches the Rfam family "tRNA". From Rfam's summary of the family: Transfer RNA (tRNA) molecules are approximately 80 nucleotides in length. The record is from Rfam by way of RNAcentral. RNAcentral also lists the same sequence under 1 other name. Lineage: Eukaryota; Metazoa; Chordata; Mammalia; Carnivora; Canidae.
ACCUGAGUGGCUCAGUGGUUGAGCAUCUGCCUUUGGCUCAGGUUGUGGUCCUGGAAUUCCAGGAUCGAGUCCUGCAUCAGGUU